This 4303-nucleotide long non-coding RNA is filed under the name Zea mays. Its description in RNAcentral is "long non-coding RNA (ZMAY_LNC002405)". The record is from RNAcentral. Lineage: Eukaryota; Viridiplantae; Streptophyta; Magnoliopsida; Poales; Poaceae.
GUCCCCUUACUUCCUGCAACUGGACAUCCACCGUGUCAUGUGCUCCUGCCAUAGUUAGCGCAAACACCAAAAGGAGAAAAACCGACGACAAUAAGGGAAUGGUGGUGACAACUCGCUCAAUGGAAUGUUGUUAUCAAGUUCUUAUCCGUUCUUACCAAGCCACAGGGGUGAACUGCAACCAACAGGUGGAACUGAUGAAAGAUUGGAUGAGCGAUUGCUUGGAGAAAUAGAAACCUGCUCAUCGUAGAAAUAUGUGGAGUUCUGGGUAGGCUGCACUCAAGUCAAGGAUUAGCACGAUCAAACAAUAAUGCAAAGUUGAAUUAUAGUGCAAAACACGAAACUAUAUUGCUGGCCACAAGUGCAAAGGACACAACAAGUUGGAACAAAGAACAAUGGAACUAGCAGAAUGGUAGUACCGUAAAUAUUGUACUAGCGAGGCCAAAAAGGCACUAGUAGGAAUCACAGGUGAUUUUGUUUUUCUUUUUUGUAUGAUUUUUUUAUAUUUUUCUCAGCACAAGAAGCAACAAAAUAGGAGCUACACCAAGUUUCACCUAAAACAGAGAUCAGAUGUGGCUUACAGAAAAAGAGCAAGUUCUCUAAAAAGCGUGUAAGAGCUUUGACGAUUUUUUUUUCUUUAUUUCCUGAAUUUUUUUGACAUUUUUAUCGAAACCAAACAUGUCGUAGGCCAGUUUGGCUGGCCUCAGAAUGGUGUCAACAAUCUCCUGUAAAAAUUUCAGAUUUUUUGAACAACCGAGCGAAAAGUUAUGCCCGGUUUAAGGAAGGUACCUCAAGUUAUGUUUAAAACGAUCGAGAUGAGACAACCGCUUUGUUUCCUUUCCCCUUUUUUGUUUGUUCUCUAGUUCUAUCCUUUCUCUUUCUUUUUCUUUCUUUUUCUUUUCUUUUUUUUGUUUCUGUUUUUUUACGUAACCGAAGGAGAAAACAAGGAAGCGGCGUUGACUCGGUUUGUGGCGUGAUCAAACGGGAGAUGGUGGCGGCGCGCUAGGGUUUGAAUGGUGGAAGAAACAAGGAUGGUGAAAAAACACAAUGCAACCAGCAACAAAUGACGCGCAAGCACACAAAUUCAAAAAUGCAGAUUAUUGAAAGAAAGUGCGAGUCUCAAAAGGGUGCUGGGAUAAGGUCUAACCUGAAUUUUUAUGUGGUUUUGUUGAUAGUAGGAGGAAAAAAACACUCGAUAAACUCACCAAUCAACCUGGAAAUCUGAUACCACUUGAUAUAGCUGAGGUGCCCGAUCUUUCGGUGAGUGGAGAUAAUUCCGAUUUGGCGGAAGAUGACCCUUGCGAUCCGACUACGACGAGCAAGCCCGAGGCGCCAAUGCAAUCGUUGAACCAACUCCCUGUGGUUACUGACCUUACUGAUGCGUGAUCCACCUGAUCACGAAGAUCGUUUCCUGUGCGCAAUCGAAGAACGAACAAGAAAAAGAUGCGAGCAAUCUAAUUUAUUACUCGAGGGUGGAGUUCUGAAUACACGAAGACUGCGCUGAUUUGCGCGUGUUCGAGAGUAGCUAAAGCUAACGUAAAACAAAACUCAUAGAACAAAGGAGGCGCAGCUCCUGGAUAAAUAGAGAGGGGGACGCAGCCCCUAGUGGCGGCCAAAGGGGGAAAACGCAACCCUAGGUCGCCCACUAUGGGCCGCAGUUGGACUGGUCGUCUAUUCUUCUGGGCCCUCAUUCUUCAGUAGCAUGACGAAGUUAAGAUCUCUGGCAUGGGCCCGAGUGAUUGGCCCAGCUAAUGAAGGAAGUGGUGCUUGAUGUGGAGGUGCUGCUGGUGUAGUCGUACUCAUGUUGCAGGUGAUGUCCUCAUAAAAAAGGCUAUCUAGUCCUCGAUAGAUUGUCCUUAAGUCAAUAGUAAAUAUCAAGGGCAUGGAUGUAAUUUUACAUAGGUUGUGUACUGUGCCUAUAAAUAGAUGAACAGUAACAUCGUACUGGGCACGCUGACUGGUAUUCACUCGCACGUCACUCUCUGACUCAAACCUUCUGUCAAGCCGAAGGUACAAAUGUAACUUACUGUUAUUAAUGUUUGCCCAUGAUGAAAUAAUGAGAAUAUAAAUAAUGUUACAAUUCAAUAUGAUUGUUCAUGUUGUUUUCCAUGUUUCAUAUACUUCUACUUUCAUUAUUAUAUACUGAUAUAAUGAAGGUAUGUCCUUCAUAACCUUCGUCUAAAGAUCAUUGUAUCCUAAGGGAGAUAAUGCUUUGAAGGACGAAGGUCUUUAACCAUUAACAUUUUUGUGUUGCCUUGUUCUUAACUCAUAGCAUUUGAGAACAAGUCCCCAACAAAACUUAUGCAUGAAUAGUGAUAAUAAAGAAUAUUAUUGGGUAAUAAAAGUGGAUCAAGGGCACAACUUGCUUGGCACUUGAGAUUCCAGUAACCAAGGUGAUUCUUCAGAUCCUCGUGACCUCACUGCUAAUCGUAGCAAUACAAACAGACAUGGUAUAGACAAAAUUAACAUCACACCAUGCAUAAGAACAAACUUCAUAAUAAUGAUCUACGCGAAGUUACGAGGUCGUGGGAUCGAGAACUACUAAGAUCGAAGUCGGGGGUCAUCAAGUUAUGAUGUGAUUAAAUGAUUAAAACUAGGUGUUAUUUUAUAAUACCAGAGAAAAGAUAACCAAAAAUAGUAAUUAAUUCAACUUUAAUCUAAAUUAUAAAUUGACUAUAGAUCACAGUUUAGUAGAUAAUGAUGAGCACAUUAACAAGAAUAACCAACAUAAGUUAAGUAAAGAUUUAAUCAUAAAAUAAUGAGACAUGGUAUAAUAAAUGUUGUUAUUGCAUAGUAAAUAUUCGUACGAGACUAACGCAACUUGACCGGAUCAAAUCGGAAUCAUAGAUUUUAAGUUAUGAAUUUCUAAUGAUUUUAUGUGUUUUGUACAAUAUUAAAUGGGAUAUAAAUUUUAAUAUGACUUUCAUGUGAAAACAGUGGUACUAGAUGAUAAACCAUAAUAUUACAAAAUUAUAGAAACUCGAAUGGACUAAAAAGGAGCUAGAAUAGAUUUUCUAUGAUUUAAACAAGUUUCUGCAAUUAGUUUUAUAUUGAAAAUCACUUUUUAAAUGGAUUUCUCAAUUUCCUUACAGAUCUGGUCUGCGCGCAAUAUUAACAAAAAGUCCAAGGACUAAAACAGAAACAUUCCUAAGACUCAGAUCCCCAGUCGCUAGGACUCCAGGUUGUUUUGUCACUUUCUCAGGGUCUCUUUUGAAAGAAGAGCACGACGAAGGGGUAUCGGCAACCCACAGUCGUCCGAUCUCCACUCAACGCGCCAGAUUAGAUUGCCAAACGGGAAUAUUCCUAUGCCAUCACAGCCACCCGCGGCAGGAUCAACGACCCUGAUCUAUUGUGUGGGAGGGAAAACACGGACAACCGAUCCGGCCAUCCGUUUCGAUCUCGACGGCCAAGAUCAACCUAACGCGAACCGUUACACCGUCCUAAUCCUGACCGCACAACAAAAUCGAACGGCCAGGAGCCGAUUCCCACUCAGGUGACGACCGACCGGCGGCGGCAUUCCACCCACGGCGGCGCGGCAUUAACGGGCCACUAGCUUAAUCUCCGAUUUCUGCCUACAACAUGAUUCUGAUGCUUGCAUAACAAAGCAGAGAGUAUGGGGAAUGUAAUGGAGUGCAUCAUACCGUUCUCGGUGGCGACAGCAGCACUGCCCACGGUGACCCACGGCCCGACUGCCUGGAUGAAGAACCGAUGAGAAAUUCCGCCGCACCGCAGGCCUCAGCGCUGGAUUAGGCCCGUGUACACGAUCUACCAACCCUGUAGAAUGCCUGGAACCGCACAACGGAGGUUGGGAGGCGACGAUGGCUACAAUCAAUGGCGGCGUUGCAGAUUCGCACGGCUACAGCGAGCAAUUCCCCACCGUCCAGCCACACAUCACCCCCUCGAUGCGGACAUAAGCACCACCCGAGCGGCUGUACGCCAUGAUGAAGUACUCCUCCACAUCCGGCCGCCACCGCAGCCUCAGGCUGUAUGUGUACCGUGCCGUUUCAGCAGCUUCCGGCUGUACCGCCAAGGGGGGAGUGGGAGUCCAUUAAUGGUGAGGGCCGCCGGUUGCGAGCCAAAGGCGGAUGGGGAGGUGAUGUAGGACUAGGUAGGGAAGAAGCACGGAACGACGAGCACGAGGCAGAAGAAUCGAGCACGGAGGUGGCGGCUCGAGAUGGCAGAAAAAAAUGAAAAGGAAAGUCUAGUUCUGCAUUUAAGCACCAUGACCGGGAGGUCCAGCCAGCCGAAGGGAAUAGUUGAAUUCCCGCAAAAGUUUGUUGCUAGGAUCCGAUUUCAUGGCUAGAAG